RNAcentral lists this transfer RNA (74 nucleotides) under Coemansia guatemalensis. It matches the Rfam family "tRNA". From Rfam's summary of the family: Transfer RNA (tRNA) molecules are approximately 80 nucleotides in length. Lineage: Eukaryota; Fungi; Kickxellomycota; Kickxellomycetes; Kickxellales; Kickxellaceae. The record is from Rfam by way of RNAcentral.
GGUUGUGUGGUGUAGUUGGUUAUCACAUCUGCUUUACACGCAGAAGGUCGUCAGUUCGAGCCUGGCCGCGAUCA